UGGGGAAUAUUGGACAAUGGGCGGAAGCCUGAUCCAGCAAUGCCGCGUGUGUGAAGAAGGCCUGCGGGUUGUAAAGCACUUUCGGUGGGGAGGAAGGCCUGAUGGUUAAUAGUCAUCAGGAUUGACGUUACCCACAGAAGAAGCACCGGCUAACUCUGUGCCAGCAGCCGCGGUAAUACAGAGGGUGCGAGCGUUAAUCGGAAUUACUGGGCGUAAAGGGUGCGUAGGUGGUCAAUUAAGUUAGGUGUGAAAUCCCUGGGCUUAACCUAGGAAUGGCAUUUAAGACUGAUUGGCUAGAGUGCAGAAGGGGCAAUCGGAAUUCUUGGUGUAGCGGUGAAAUGCGUAGAUAUCAAGAGGAACACCUGAGGUGAAGACGGGUUGCUGGGCUGACACUGACGCUGAGGCGCGAAAGCCAGGGGAGCAAACGGGAUUAGAUACCCGCGUAGUCCCUGAGCGGGCUGGCAAGGCGCAU
This 472-nucleotide ribosomal RNA is filed under the name uncultured bacterium. RNAcentral describes it as "bacterial SSU rRNA". It matches the Rfam family "Bacterial small subunit ribosomal RNA", at positions 355 to 825 of the family's 1533-position model. The record is from RNAcentral.